CAGCCUCAGCAAAUGGACUAGUAGUUCCUCAAAGCAGAUCCCACAUGAUCCUUGGUCCCAUUCCUUCAAGAACCUUGUUUUCCAGGCGCUUCAUGUUUCCUGUUGCAGGUGGGAUGAGACCCCCUCAAGGCCUCAUGCCAAUGCAGCAGCAAGGAUUUCCUAUGGUCUCUGUCAUGCAGCCCAAUAUGCAAAGCAUGAUGGGAAUGAAUUACAGCUCUCAAAUGUCCCAAGGACCCAUUGCAAUGCAGGCAGGAAUACCAAUGGGACCAAUGCCAGCAGCAGGCAUGCCUUUCCUGGGGCAGCCACCAUUUCUGGGCAUGCGUCCUCCAGGCCCACAAUACACUCCAGACAUGCAGAAGCAGUUUGCUGAAGAGCAACAAAAACGAUUUGAACAGCAACAAAAACUCUUAGAGGAAGAAAGGAAAAGACGUCAGUUUGAAGAGCAAAAACAAAAGCUCAGACUUUUGAGUAGCGUGAAACCCAAGACAGGAGAGAAGAACAGAGACGAUGCUUUGGAAGCCAUAAAAGGAAACUUAGAUGGAUUUUCCAGAGAUGCUAAGAUGCACCCUACUCCAGCAUCACACCCCAAGAAACCAGGGGUGGCCGUGUUUCCCUCUCAGGAUCCUGUUCAGCCCAGAAUGCCUCCUUGGAUUUACAAUGAGAGUUUGGUUCCAGAUGCCUAUAAGAAAAUUUUAGAAACUACAAUGACUCCAACUGGAAUAGAUACUGCUAAACUUUAUCCCAUUCUGAUGUCAUCUGGACUUCCCAGGGAAACUCUCGGACAGAUAUGGGCCUUAGCCAAUCGGACUACACCUGGCAAACUUACUAAGGAAGAGCUUUAUACUGUUCUCGCCAUGGUAGCAGUAACACAGAGGGGCGUUCCUGCCAUGAGCCCUGAUGCUUUGAGCCAGUUCCCAGCGGCUCCCAUUCCCACCUUAAGCGGCUUUCCUCUGGCUCUGCCUACCCCAGUGAGCCAGCCGACUGCAAUGCCCUCUGUCCAAGCAGGCUCCAUGCCCCUCAGCCUUGGACAGCCCAUCAUGGGCAUUAACCUUGUUGGACCAGUGGGUGGAGCUGCAGCACCAACUUCCAGUGGCUUCAUGACAGCCUACCCAUCAAAUCAGGUAAACGGAGAAGCUUUGUGUGUGCUAGAUCAUUCCUGAAAGUGCAUGUGGAUAGCUUUCCUUCCAGAGAUACAGUCUGCUGGAUUAUGGUGGGCACUUGAUGUGAAAAUUAAGCGGUGUGGAGACAAAGGUGUGGUCACCAAUGAGCUCUCACCUACAAUGCUCAGGGUCCUAAGUUUUACCCUAACUCUGCAAGAAAUAAUUUUCAAGUAUUAAGAUAACACAAAUUUUAAUUGUUUAUUUUUAUUUGUUUUUAACUAUUCUUUA
Molecule: long non-coding RNA, 1388 nt
Filed under: Cricetulus griseus (Chinese hamster)
Lineage: Eukaryota; Metazoa; Chordata; Mammalia; Rodentia; Cricetidae
Description: lncRNA (ENSCGRG00000026373.1)
Source: RNAcentral